This 292-nucleotide ribosomal RNA is filed under the name uncultured bacterium. Its description in RNAcentral is "partial 16S ribosomal RNA". It matches the Rfam family "Bacterial small subunit ribosomal RNA", at positions 505 to 796 of the family's 1533-position model. The record is from RNAcentral.
GUGUCAGCCGCCGCGGUAAUACGGAGGGUGCAAGCGUUAUCCGGAUUCACUGGGUUUAAAGGGUGCGUAGGCGGGCAGGUAAGUCCGUGGUGAAAUCUCCAAGCUUAACUUGGAAACUGCCGUGGAUACUAUUUGUCUUGAAUAUAGUGGAGGUGAGCGGAAUAUGUCAUGUAGCGGUGAAAUGCUUAGAUAUGACAUAGAACACCCAUUGCGAAGGCAGCUCGCUACACUAUUAUUGACGCUGAGGCACGAAAGCGUGGGGAUCAAACAGGAUUAGAAACCCUAGUAGUCC